RNAcentral lists this ribosomal RNA (378 nucleotides) under uncultured Actinomycetes bacterium. RNAcentral's name for it is "bacterial SSU rRNA". It matches the Rfam family "Bacterial small subunit ribosomal RNA", at positions 521 to 896 of the family's 1533-position model. The record is from RNAcentral. Lineage: Bacteria; Bacillati; Actinomycetota; Actinomycetes.
UAACACGUAGGGACCGAGCGUUGUCCGGAUUUAUUGGGCGUAAAGAGCUCGUAGGCGGUUCUGUAAGUCGGAUGUGAAAACUCAGGGCUCAACCCUGAGACGCCAUCUGAUACUGCAGUGACUAGAGUCCGGUAGAGGAAGAUGGAAUUCCUGGUGUAGCGGUGGAAUGCGCAGAUAUCAGGAGGAACACCAACGGCGAAGGCAGUCUUCUGGGCCGGUACUGACGCUGAGGAGCGAAAGCAUGGGGAGCAAACAGGAUUAGAUACCCUGGUAGUCCAUGCCGUAAACGUUGGGCACUAGGUGUGGGGUCUUCUAACGGAUUCCGUGCCGUAGCUGACGCAUUAAGUGCCCCGCCUGGGGAGUACGGCCGCAAGGCUA